CGAAGGGUGCAAGCGUUAAUCGGAAUUACUGGGCGUAAAGCGUGCGUAGGCGGUUUCUUAAGUCCGUUGUGAAAGCCCUGGGCUCAACCUGGGAACUGCGAUGGAUACUGAGGAGCUGGAGUACGGUAGAGGAAGGUGGAAUUCCCGGUGUAGCGGUGAAAUGCGUAGAGAUCGGGAGGAACAUCAGUGGCGAAGGCGGCCUUCUGGACCAGUACUGACGCUGAGGCACGAAAGCGUGGGGAGCAAACAGGAUUAGAUACCCUGGUAGUCCACGCCCUAAACGAUGCGGACUGGACGUUGGGCACAACUUGGUGCUCAGUGUCGAAGCUAACGCGUUAAGUCCGCCGCCUGGGGAGUACGCUCGCAAGAGUG
This 372-nucleotide ribosomal RNA is filed under the name uncultured organism. RNAcentral describes it as "bacterial SSU rRNA". It matches the Rfam family "Bacterial small subunit ribosomal RNA", at positions 526 to 896 of the family's 1533-position model. The record is from RNAcentral.